RNAcentral lists this ribosomal RNA (477 nucleotides) under uncultured Planctomycetales bacterium. Its description in RNAcentral is "bacterial SSU rRNA". It matches the Rfam family "Bacterial small subunit ribosomal RNA", at positions 365 to 832 of the family's 1533-position model. Lineage: Bacteria; Pseudomonadati; Planctomycetota; Planctomycetia; Planctomycetales. The record is from RNAcentral.
UUCGCAAUGCCCGAAAGGGUGACGAAGCGACGCCGCGUGCGGGAAGAAGGCCUUCGGGUUGUAAACCGCUGUCGGGAGUUAAGAAAUGUAAGGAUGUUAAUAGCAUCUUUGCUUGACUAAGGCUCCGGAGGAAGCCACGGCUAACUCUGUGCCAGCAGCCGCGGUAAUACAGAGGCGGCAAGCGUUGUUCGGAAUUAUUGGGCGUAAAGAGCACGUAGGCGGCUAUGUAAGUCGGUUGUGAAAGCCUUCCGCUCAACGGGAGAACAGCAUCCGAUACUGCAUGGCUUGAGUGCGGGAGGGGAGAGUGGAACUUCUGGUGGAGCGGUGAAAUGCGUAGAUAUCAGAAGGAGCACCGGCGGCGAAAGCGGCUCUCUGGCCCAUAACUGACGCUGAGUGUGCGAAAGCUAGGGGAGCAAACGGGAUUAGAUACCCCGGUAGUCCUAGCCGUAAACGAUGGGCACUAAGUAGAGGGGUUUU